GGGGGUGAACGGUUUCGACUUCGUUCGUCGAACCGGGGGAAGCGGGCCGAGGAUGUCGCGUGAUCUCGCUAACCAACGCGGCAACGUUACAAGUGCCAACGCUAAGCGCACUGACUUCGCUCUCGCCGCCUGAGCAGGAGCAACGAAGUCUGUCGACCCGGGGAUGCUUCCGCCCCGGUGCUCGGCAUCAGUGAGGAAGCUUCGCCUUUCGGUACGGUCGCGGGACCGGAAGGGACACCAACGCGACUGGGCUCGUCACGGUGAACCCGCCUGCAGGAUCACCGGAGCCGAGUAGAGACAUCGCAGGCUGCGCCCGGAGAAGCCCAGGCAAGUCGACGAAGGACCCGGGUUCGAUUCCCGGCACCUCCACCA
RNAcentral lists this transfer-messenger RNA (372 nucleotides) under Jiangellaceae. RNAcentral's name for it is "JACVRX01 sp014534205 Standard tmRNA". It matches the Rfam family "transfer-messenger RNA". Rfam says of the family: Bacterial tmRNA, also known as 10Sa RNA or SsrA, is named for its dual tRNA and mRNA-like properties. Its role is to liberate the mRNA from a stalled ribosome. The record is from RNAcentral. Lineage: Bacteria; Bacillati; Actinomycetota; Actinomycetes; Jiangellales. RNAcentral also lists the same sequence under 1 other name.